This 494-nucleotide long non-coding RNA is filed under the name Trifolium pratense (red clover). RNAcentral describes it as "long non-coding RNA (TPRA_LNC010662)". Lineage: Eukaryota; Viridiplantae; Streptophyta; Magnoliopsida; Fabales; Fabaceae. The record is from RNAcentral.
CUUUCUCUUCACGCAAAAACAGAAACAAAAGCACCAUGACCCCAUUUCAUUUCUCUCUCUCUCUCUCGUGGAACACACCACUCAACUUCCAUUUUUCAAGCUAGAAACAACACCCCACAUGUAACAUCCCAACCUUAAUUAAUAGAGAAAUAUUAAUUUGAGAUAAUCCUUGGAAAUUAAAUGAAAAUAAGUGAAUAAGUAUAAAAGGAUAAUUAAAGGACACAAGGAAACUCUAGUGGUAAGUGGCAAGGGCAAGAUGGUAAACUAUCAAAGAAGGCUAUAUAAGGACAAGAGGAGACCCAACUUUAUUCACUAAUUCAUUUUCAGCAAAGUUGAUUUCACUUUCCCCUCCCACUCUCACGCCAAACCACAUCAAACAAUGAUAAACUAUUAUGCCAAGAGAGACUAGUGGGACUAUUUAAUUUACCAUAAAAGCCUAACAACCAACCCUUCCAAUUCAUUCUUUCACUUUGCAAAAGUCAGAACAUAGCACU